GUGGGGAAUAUUGGACAAUGGGCGAAAGCCUGAUCCAGCCAUGCCGCGUGUGUGAAGAAGGUCUUCGGAUUGUAAAGCACUUUAAGUUGGGAGGAAGGGCAGUAAGUUAAUACCUUGCUGUUUUGACGUUACCGACAGAAUAAGCACCGGCUAACUUCGUGCCAGCAGCCGCGGUAAUACGAAGGGUGCAAGCGCUAAUCGGAAUUACUGGGCGUAAAGCGCGCGUAGGUGGUUUUGUAAGUUGGAGGUGAAAUCCCCGGGCUCAACCUGGGAACUGCCUCCAAAACUGCAUGACUAGAGUACGGUAGAGGGUAGUGGAAUUUCCUGUGUAGCGGUGAAAUGCGUAGAUAUAGGAAGGAACACCAGUGGCGAAGGCGACUACCUGGACUGAUACUGACACUGAGGUGCGAAAGCGUGGGGAGCAAACAGGAUUAGAAACCCCUGUAGUCC
Molecule: ribosomal RNA, 450 nt
Filed under: uncultured bacterium
Lineage: Bacteria
Description: partial 16S ribosomal RNA
Rfam family: Bacterial small subunit ribosomal RNA
Source: RNAcentral